ACCAGAGACUAAAACAGCUGCAGUGUAACCUAUUACUGUUUUACUGCCUUUUAGUUUGACAGUGUUUCUGUUGUAAUGGAGAUGCUACUAUAUGGACUCCUACUGAUGAUUAUCGCAUGUGUUAAUGGUCAGUCUUUGAGCUCCUCAGAUUCUGUGGUGAAAAGACCAGGAGAAUCAGUGACUCUGUCCUGCGGUGUCUCUGGAUUCUCAAUGGGCAGCUACUACAUGACCUGGAUCCGUCAGAAACCAGGGAGAGGACUGGAGUGGAUUGGAUAUAUAGACACUGGCUCAAGUGCAUAUUAUGCUCAGUCUCUACAGGGCCAGUUCUCCAUCACAAAAGACACCAGCAAAAACAUGCUGUAUUUAGAGGUGAAAAGCCUGAAGACUGAAGACACAGCUGUUUAUUACUGUGCAAGAGAUUCACAGUAAGACAAAAGUCUGCAGGGCUGAACAAAAACUAUUCAUGUGAUCUCUGAGGACUCAAGGAUGGUGGAUACAAUUAUGAAAUAUAUGUUGUUCUCCAAAACAUGUUGGCCACAAUUAUUGCCAUAGAAAUUC
Non-coding RNA from Rhinichthys klamathensis goyatoka, 558 nucleotides. Lineage: Eukaryota; Metazoa; Chordata; Actinopteri; Cypriniformes; Leuciscidae. The record is from the annotation of a RefSeq genome assembly.